RNAcentral lists this ribosomal RNA (500 nucleotides) under uncultured bacterium. RNAcentral's name for it is "partial 16S ribosomal RNA". It matches the Rfam family "Bacterial small subunit ribosomal RNA", at positions 30 to 523 of the family's 1533-position model. The record is from RNAcentral.
CUUGAACGCUGGCGGCAGGCUUAACACAUGCAAGUCGAGCGGGGGAAGGUAGCUUGCUACCGGACCUAGCGGCGGACGGGUGAGUAAUGCUUAGGAAUCUGCCUAUUAGUGGGGGACAACAUCUCGAAAGGGAUGCUAAUACCGCAUACGUCCUACGGGAGAAAGCAGGGGCUCUUCGGACCUUGCGCUACUAGAUGAGCCUAAGUCGGAUUAGCUAGUUGGUGGGGUAAAGGCCUACCAAGGCGACGAUCUGUAGCAGGUCUGAGAGGAUGAUCCGCCACACUGGGACUGAGACACGGCCCAGACUCCUACGGGAGGCAGCAGUGGGGAAUAUUGGACAAUGGGGGAACCCUGAUCCAGCCAUGCCGCGUGUGUGAAGAAGGCCUUAUGGUUGUAAAGCACUUUAAGCGAGGAGGAGGCUCUUUUGGUUAAUACCCAAGAUGAGUGGACGUUACUCGCAGAAUAAGCACCGGCUAACUCUGUGCCAGCCGCCGCAGUAA